This 728-nucleotide ribosomal RNA is filed under the name uncultured bacterium. Its description in RNAcentral is "bacterial SSU rRNA". It matches the Rfam family "Bacterial small subunit ribosomal RNA", at positions 773 to 1501 of the family's 1533-position model. The record is from RNAcentral.
CAGGAUUAGAUACCCUGGUAGUCCACGCCGUAAACGAUGUCGACUUGGAGGUUGUGCCCUUGAGGCGUGGCUUCCGGAGCUAACGCGUUAAGUCGACCGCCUGGGGAGUACGGCCGCAAGGUUAAAACUCAAAUGAAUUGACGGGGGCCCGCACAAGCGGUGGAGCAUGUGGUUUAAUUCGAUGCAACGCGAAGAACCUUACCUGGUCUUGACAUCCACAGAAGUUUUCAGAGAUGAGAAUGUGCCUUCGGGAACCGUGAGACAGGUGCUGCAUGGCUGUCGUCAGCUCGUGUUGUGAAAUGUUGGGUUAAGUCCCGCAACGAGCGCAACCCUUAUCCUUUGUUGCCAGCGGUCCGGCCGGGAACUCAAAGGAGACUGCCAGUGAUAAACUGGAGGAAGGUGGGGAUGACGUCAAGUCAUCAUGGCCCUUACGACCAGGGCUACACACGUGCUACAAUGGCGCAUACAAAGAGAAGCGACCUCGCGAGAGCAAGCGGACCUCAUAAAGUGCGUCGUAGUCCGGAUUGGAGUCUGCAACUCGACUCCAUGAAGUCGGAAUCGCUAGUAAUCGUGGAUCAGAAUGCCACGGUGAAUACGUUCCCGGGCCUUGUACACACCGCCCGUCACACCAUGGGAGUGGGUUGCAAAAGAAGUAGGUAGCUUAACCUUCGGGAGGGCGCUUACCACUUUGUGAUUCAUGACUGGGGUGAAGUCGUAACAAGGUAACC